CCACGGACGAACGCUGGGCGGCGUGCCUAAUACAUGCAAGUCGAGCGGAGUUUUGAAAAGCUUGCUUUUCAAAACUUAGCGGCGGACGGGUGAGUAACACGUGGGCAACCUGCCCUUGAGACGGGGAUAACUCCGGGAAACCGGAGCUAAUACCGGAUAACACAUAUCUUCGCAUGAGGAUAUGUUAGAAGGUGGCUUUUAGCUACCACUCAAGGAUGGGCCCGCGGCGCAUUAGCUAGUUGGUGAGGUAACGGCUCACCAAGGCGACGAUGCGUAGCCGACCUGAGAGGGUGAUCGGCCACACUGGGACUGAGACACGGCCCAGACUCCUACGGGAGGCAGCAGUAGGGAAUCUUCCGCAAUGGACGAAAGUCUGACGGAGCAACGCCGCGUGAGUGAUGAAGGUUUUCGGAUCGUAAAGCUCUGUUGUUAGGGAAGAACAAGUACCUGUUGAAUAAGCAGGUACCUUGACGGUACCUAACCAGAAAGCCACGGCUAACUACGUGCCAGCAGCCGCGGUAAUACGUAGGUGGCAAGCGUUGUCCGGAAUUAUUGGGCGUAAAGCGCGCGCAGGCGGUUCCUUAAAGUCUGAUGUGAAAGCCCACGGCUCAACCGUGGAGGGUCAUUGGAAACUGGGGAACUUGAGUGCAGAAGAGGAGAGCGGAAUUCCACGUGUAGCGGUGAAAUGCGUAGAGAUGUGGAGGAACACCAGUGGCGAAGGCGGCUCUCUGGUCUGUAACUGACGCUGAGGCGCGAAAGCGUGGGGAGCGAACAGGAUUAGAUACCCUGGUAGUCCACGCCGUAAACGAUGAGUGCUAAGUGUUAGAGGGUUUCCGCCCUUUAGUGCUGCAGCAAACGCAUUAAGCACUCCGCCUGGGGAGUACGGUCGCAAGACUGAAACUCAAAGGAAUUGACGGGGACCCGCACAAGCGGGUGGGAGCAUGGUGGUUUAAUUCGAAGCAACGCGAAGAACCUUACCAGGUCUUGACAUCCUCUGCUACUUCUAGAGAUAGAAGGUUCCCUUCGGGGACAGAGUGACAGGUGGUGCAUGGUUGUCGUCAGCUCGUGUCGUGAGAUGUUGGGUUAAGUCCCGCAACGAGCGCAACCCUUGAUCUUAGUUGCCAGCAUUUAGUUGGGCACUCUAAGGUGACUGCCGGUGACAAACCGGAG
RNAcentral lists this ribosomal RNA (1170 nucleotides) under Priestia endophytica. RNAcentral's name for it is "bacterial SSU rRNA". It matches the Rfam family "Bacterial small subunit ribosomal RNA", at positions 23 to 1168 of the family's 1533-position model. Lineage: Bacteria; Bacillati; Bacillota; Bacilli; Caryophanales; Bacillaceae. The record is from RNAcentral.